GGGUGCGAUCAUACCAGCACAAAUGCACCGGAUCCCAUCAGACCACCGCAGUUAAGUGUGCUUGGGCGAGAGUAGUACUAGGAUGGGUGACCUCCUGGGAAGUCCUCGUGUUGCACCCC
This is a non-coding RNA of Arabis alpina (gray rockcress), 119 nucleotides long. NCBI's taxonomy places the organism in Eukaryota, Viridiplantae, Streptophyta, Magnoliopsida, Brassicales, Brassicaceae. The record is from Rfam.